Molecule: ribosomal RNA, 210 nt
Filed under: Triticum aestivum (bread wheat)
Lineage: Eukaryota; Viridiplantae; Streptophyta; Magnoliopsida; Poales; Poaceae
Description: partial small subunit ribosomal RNA
Source: RNAcentral
AUGGCAAGCACUGUAGAGUGUUACAUCAAUGAGUACAACGUGACAAGUGAAGUGGCCAUUACCAAAACUGUUGCCCUGAUAGAACAUGAAUGGAAGACCCUGAACCAAGCUCGCUUUCAAAAUCAUCUCCCUGCAUUGCAGCAGUUCAUUAGCUUAGCGAUUAGCACAACAUUUUUUUAUGGUAACAGAAAUGAUAUAUACACUGGGUGA